RNAcentral lists this ribosomal RNA (254 nucleotides) under uncultured bacterium. RNAcentral describes it as "partial 16S ribosomal RNA". It matches the Rfam family "Bacterial small subunit ribosomal RNA", at positions 524 to 776 of the family's 1533-position model. The record is from RNAcentral.
CACGUAGGGGGCAAGCGUUGUCCGGAUUUAUUGGGCGUAAAGAGCUCGUAGGCGGUUCGGUAAGUCAGGUGUGAAACCUCCAGGCUCAACCUGGAGACGCCACCUGAUACUGCUGUGACUUGAGUCCGGUAGGGGAGUGUGGAAUUCCUGGUGUAGCGGUGGAAUGCGCAGAUAUCAGGAGGAACACCAGCGGCGAAGGCGGCACUCUGGACCGGCACUGACGCUGAGGAGCGAAAGCGUGGGUAGCAAACAGG